RNAcentral lists this long non-coding RNA (841 nucleotides) under Homo sapiens (human). RNAcentral's name for it is "HSALNT0390415". The record is from RNAcentral. Lineage: Eukaryota; Metazoa; Chordata; Mammalia; Primates; Hominidae.
CCCCAGCGGGCGGCGGCAGAGCGGGGAGGAUUGGAGGGGCCAGGGCUGGGGGUGGCACGGGCUCUUGGGCCGCUGGGCUCCUCUGGGCGGGCUCAGGGCUGGAAGGCGCUGCCAGCUGUAGCCAGGCUCAUACUUUUCAAUUUGUUGUCCUUCUUCCACUUCAUGCGCCGGUUCUGGAACCAGAUCUUGAUCUGGCGCUCGGACAGGCAGAGUGCGUGGGCGAUCUCGAUGCGCCGUCGCCGGGUCAGGUUGCUUGUCUGGAGAUGGAGCCACUACAGGCGGGCCUGGGCGCCUGGAGUCGGGCAUGAAAGAAAAUAGCGCCUCAUCGCUCUUAUCUAAGCCCAGAGGUCCAGGGGACAACCUGAGGGCCCUGAAGUGUUUCAAUACCAUGUACCAGCUUGACUUCUCUACAUGUCCUUUGGAUUGCCCAAAAGCAAAAUCUCAGAGGGGCCAAGGACCUUCUAGGGCUGGCUCCCUCAGGGCCUCCUAUAGAGCAGCUCCUUGAGUCGGGCCUUAUAGCCACCAGAAAGUCACCUCGCCGCAGGAAAGCUAUAAAGAGCUGCUCCAGAGGCGCCGAAAGAGGGUAGACUUCGCUUGAAAAGAUCGAGAAUGGAGGAGGGGAUCGGCACUCACUUGCAGACAUCAACAGUUUCCAGAAAAUUCGGUUCAAUUCCUUCACCACGGACCCACCAACCAAGGAGCUGGCAAAACCCACUAACCAACCAGGAGAACACAGACCCGGUUUGUCUUUUGACAACCGAGUGGAACUGACGGGGCCGGCGCCUGCCCUGCGGGUCCCCUCCCUUGGCUGAGAAGAAAACCAAAUAAACCUUGAACAGCC